GAUGAAGAACGUAGCGAAAUGCGAUAAGUAGUGUGAAUUGCAGAAUUCAGUGAAUCAUCGAAUCUUUGAACGCACAUUGCGCCCCUUGGUAUUCCAUGGGGCAUGCCUGUUCGAGCGUCAUUUGUACCUUCAAGCCUUGCUUGGUGUUGGGUGUUUGUCUCGCCUCUGCGCGCAGACUCGCCUCAAAACAAUUGGCAGCCGGCGUAUUGAUUUCGGAGCGCAGUACAUCUCGCGCUUUGCACUCAGAACGACGACGUCCAAAAGUACAUUUUUACACUCUUGACCUCGGAUCAAGUAGGGAUACCCGCUGAACUUAAGCAUAUCAAUAAGCGGAGGA
This 337-nucleotide unclassified non-coding RNA is filed under the name soil metagenome. Its description in RNAcentral is "partial contains 5.8S ribosomal RNA, internal transcribed spacer 2, and large subunit ribosomal RNA". The stretch from base 1 to 120 matches the Rfam family "5.8S ribosomal RNA", at positions 35 to 154 of the family's 154-position model. The record is from RNAcentral.